Molecule: long non-coding RNA, 4562 nt
Organism: Mercurialis annua (annual mercury)
Lineage: Eukaryota; Viridiplantae; Streptophyta; Magnoliopsida; Malpighiales; Euphorbiaceae
Exons: 24
Source: RefSeq, a predicted model, not a curated record
CCGCCACUUCCACUUCAUUUCAUCUCUCUGUCUCUGUAUUUGUUUUUGUAUUUUGAUUUUGUUUUUCUCUCCGACUGUUUUUGUGGCUCUGAUUUUGUGUUUCUCUGUGUUUGUGUUUUUUUUUUGUAUUUGUGAGUGUAUUUUUAUGUCUCAGUGUUUGUGAUUUUGUGACUUCGAAUUUGUGGUUGUGUUUCUUUCUAGGUCAGUAAUUUUUGUGAUUUUGUCUCUAUGAUGAGUGCGAAUGUUAUUUGUGCUAGUAAUUUUGCAUUUUGAUGUUUCUCUUUUGAGUGGGUUUGUUUGUGUUCGUGAUUUUAUUUUCCUACACGUGUUUGUGAAUUUUCAGAUUUUCUGGAUUUUUGUUUUGAGCCUUGAAUGUUUUGGAUUUGUAGCUUGAUUUGAUUUGGGUUCUUCUGUUAGUGUUUUUGUGUCUUUUAGUUUGUGAAUUUGUGGAAUUUUGGGUGUUUUGUGUCUUAGUGUUUGUGAAUAUCUGUAUUUUUUUUGCCCUAGUGUUUGUGAUUGUGUGUCUUUUAGUUUGUGGGUGUCUUCUUUCCGAAUUUACGUGUGUGAAUGUUCUUUGUGUGAGUAAUUUUUGUUUUAUUAAUUUUUCUCUUUUGCCUGGUUGUGUUUUUAUUUUUUUUUCUCUACGUGUUUGUGAAUCUUCAGUUAUUAUAGAAUUUUUUCUUAUGAGUUUCGAGUUUUUUGGAUUUAUAGUUUGAUUUGAUUGAGUUCUAGGUAGGUAUUGCUCUUGAUAGUUGGUACAGAUUUCAUGAAACUUCUGAACAUUUUUUAUGUGAUUAGUCUUUGAUUUUUGAUUUUUCAGUUUACCUCCUGUAAUGCUAAUGGGAGAUUGUAUUUGGGUGACUACUAGUACUAGCCUAUUUUUUGUUCAAUUUAUAGCCGGAAUCAGUGUUUUAAGGUUUAUGUAUCUGCUGUGUUCAGUACCUUAUGCAUAGUAAUCAUAUCGAUGUAAGACUUGCAAUGCAUAGCAAGGAGAAUGAAAGAAACCCGUUUGCUUCCAUGGUCGUGUUGUUUUAUUUCAGGUUGACCCUGUUUCAGCAGCAGCUCCAUACGAUAAAGAAUUUAUUGUCUCCUCUCUGGGCUUGCUGAGGGUCUUGAUAGCAGGAUUGAGAGUUUGGUUUCACAAAGCAGUUUGAGGGACCUGCUGCUGCAAUGUUCCGCAGACGAUGCUUCAGAUGUUCGACAAGGUGCUUUUCAAUGCUUGGAGACCUUGCAAGGGUGUAUGUCACUGGCUGAACUCAAGUGAGUGGUGUACAUUUGCGCCCUCGAUUGGCCGAAUUUCUUAAUGUUGCAGCCAAAUAACUGAGCACACCUAAGCUUAAGGGAACUAUGUUUGUUGCAAACAAUGUUUGUUGGGCUAUUGGAGAAUUAGCAGUCAAGGUCUGUCAAGAAUUUUCUCCAAUUGUUAUGACUCUUAUAUCAAGUUUAGUAUCAAUCCUUCAACAUCCAGAGGACCUCAACAAAUCACUAAUAGAAAAUAGUACAAUCACUUUUGGGAGGCUUGCAUGGGAUUCGUGAUGAUAUUGGAAAGGAGAAUGCUUUCCAAGGCCUAUGCGCAGUAGUAUGAAUUUGAUUUCAGAAGUUUUCAUCAUUAACGGUGAAUCAAUAAAGUCGAAUAUUUUGGAUCCCUUUCAGGUCCGAGCAAAUCCUUCGAGAGCUUUAAGUUCACUUGUAUUCAUGUGCAAAGAUAUUCGUAACGUAAAAAUAGGAAAUAAGGAGCAACGAGCUACGCAAUGAUCUUUGUCAGAUGUUGCAUGGUUAUAAACAGUCUACUUCCUGUAAUGCAAAUGGUCAGAUUACUGCAUCCAGUUCCAAUUGAAUUUCUUUUUUAAAGAAAGACUUGAAAAAGAAUCGGAUGCAAGAGGCACCACAAUUAGGGUGCAUUGUUUAAUCCUGCCGCAAGCUGCUUGGAGCAUUAUGUGUUCACAGAGAUUGAUAAAUCAGAUUUUUAAAAUAAAUCCGAGUUUGAAACAAAUCCUUGACAUCUAUAUGAAGCAGUUGCAAUUCAGAUCCCAAAUUUUAUCUUAUGUAUCAGGCAACCAAGCGUAACUAUGGAAUUGCUGUUAGGGCUUUAACUGCUACAAUAUGGGCUCAUCACGGUCAUGUACCAAAGACAACGCUAACUGAUAAGGCACUUGAUCUUGCUUCUCCAGAUGAGCUCAUUGGAAUUUGGCGUGGUUAUUAAGUUUUUGCUUUAGGAAUCUACCAGCUGUUUGGAGAUGAUAUAUGGGAGAUUGAAAAAUGAGUUUGCUUGAUUUCAUUGUGCGGUGGAGCAAUAUGAAAAAGUAGGUUUCUUCUUAAAGUAGGUUUUAGAAACAGUAUUUUCCAAAUCAUAUCUCAGUUGGUUAUGUGAAGAAUGCCAUAUUAUUUGGUUAUUUGGAUCUUGAAUCGGAUGGAAGAAUAAAUUAGAUCAUUCAUGCUUGGAAGCAGAAGAGGGAGGUCCCAAGAAAGAAAAUUUAUUAUGUGAAGUGUGAAGAAGAGAGGCUGAGGAAGCUGCAUGAAGAGGAGGAAUCUCGGAAGCAUUAAGAGGUUGAGAGACUAAGGGAAGUAGAAGCAGAGCACAUGGCAAAAUUAGAUGAAAUUGCUGAGAAACAGAGGCAGAGAGGGUGGAGAGAGAGAGAGAGAGAGAGGGAAGAAAAGAGAAGAGGAGAUUAAUUGACGUCCCUUCUAGGCCUUCAAAUCUUCAUGCUCUGUCAUUUUACAUUGAAGAAAGACAGGUGGCAAUUGCAGCUAUGGACUGCCAAUCUCUUGAUGUUGCAAAGUCUUGCAUUCAAAUUGAAGAUGCAAAUGUGAAGCUUGUUUGCUCCAAAUCAACAAGUGACUUCUGAAGCAGAAUUACACUUUGAGUUUUGGUCAAAUAAAGUUGUCGUUGAACCAUCCCUUAAUGAUCAUGACAAUUCCGAGGUUCACAAAGCAGUUUGAGGGACCUGCUGCUGCAAUGUUCCGGCCGCAGACAAUGCUUCAGAUGUUCGACAGGGUGCUUUUGCACUGCUUGGCGACCUUGCGAGGGUGUAUGUCACUGGCUGAACUCUAGUAAGUUCUUCUCUGCCAAUUGGGUACAGUUGAAUUAAGGCCGAGAAGUGUAUCUGUUAGCAAAACAAAAUAGUGUGUGGUGUACAUUUGCGCCCUCGAUUGGCCGGAUUUCUUAAUGUUGCAGCCAAAUAACUGAGCACACCUAAGCUCAAGGGAACUGUGUCUGUUGCAAACAAUGUUUGUUGGGCUAUUGGAGAAUUAGCAGUCAAGAUUUGUCAAGAAAUUUCUCCAAUUGUUAUGACUCCUAUAUCAAGUUUAGUAACAAUCCUUCAACAUCCAGAGAAUUUGCUAAACAGGAUCCCAACAAAGAGUGCCUCUUGCCACAUUAUGAAGUGUUCAGCUUCCAGGAAUUAUGAAAUAUUCAUAUUUAUUUUUUAUCUUCCAGGCACUAUCAUUCUUUAAAAAACAGACUUUUCAGAUUCUUAUAUGCUGCUUUUAUGUUCUUACAAAGAUAGAAUAAAUCUGAGUUUGAAACAAAUCCUUGACACCUAUAUGAAGCAGCUGCAAUUCAGAUCCCAAAUUUUAUGUUCUGUAUCAGGCAACCAAGAGUGGCUAUUGAAUUGCUGUUAGGGCUUUAACUGCUAUAACAAGGGCUCAUAAUGGUCUUGUACCAAAGACAACGCUAACAUAUAAGGCACUUAUUCUUGCUUCUCCAGAUGAACUCAUUGGAAUUUGCGUGGUUAUUAAGUUUUUGCUCAAGUAAUCUACCGGCUGUUUGGAGAUAUAUGGGAGAUUGAAAAAUGGGUUUGCUUGUAUCUACUACUUUGAGAUUUAGUUAUUUUUUUAUCUUUCGUUAGUGGGUGUUGUCUCUAUUUGUUUUGGUAAUUUUGUUUAAUGUUCAUAUGACUUCCCAGGAUUCUUCUUAAAGUAGGUUUUAGAAACAGUAUUUUCCAAAUCAUAUCUCAGUUGAUCAUGUGAAGAACGCCAUAUUAUUUGGUUAUUUGGAUCUUGAAUCCAAUGAAAGAAUAAAUGAUCAUUCAUGCUUGGAAGAAAGAGAGGGAGGAAAAUUUAUUAAGUGAAGUAUGAAAAAGAGAGGGUGAGAAAGCUGCAUGGAGAGGAGGAAUCCCAGAAGCAUUAAGAGGUUGAGAGACUAAGGAAAGUAGAAGCAAAACACAUGGCAAAAUUAGAUGAAACUGCUGAGAAACAGAGGCAGAGAGGGUGGAGAGAGAGAAGAGAAGAGGAGGAUAUUUACUGACGCCCCUUCUAGGCCUUCAGAUCUUCAUGCUCUCUCAUUUUACAUAGAAGAAAGACGAAUGGAGACUAUAUGAAUAUGUGGCAAUUUUAGCUAUGGACUGCCAAUCUCUUGAUGGUGCAAAGGUAUUGCAUUCAAGUCACAGCUAAUAUCGUUGAAGAUGCAGAUGUCGUUGAACCAUCCCUUAAUGAUUAUGACAUUUCCGAGAUGGAACUCCAACUUCAAAUAAAAUGUCUCUAUUUUCAAACCUUCUUGGCAUGUCUCCAAGGGAAAUAUCUCCGACACAAUGUUUUCCUCUUGCCGAUACGAUUGUCGAAGG